Non-coding RNA from Macaca mulatta (Rhesus monkey), 1055 nucleotides. Lineage: Eukaryota; Metazoa; Chordata; Mammalia; Primates; Cercopithecidae. The record is from RefSeq and is a predicted model, not a curated record.
GCAGACAAUAGCGAAGCUGUGAUUCAAUGGAUAAGUCCAGAACCUGAAUUGAGAACCUGUUCUAAGUUGCUACUCAAGUGCAGCCCACUAACUUAGGGGCACAAGAAUUGGAGGUUAUACAGCUCAAGAGAUACAUGACCAAAAAAUACAGCACUGCUGUGUUUCCCAGAAGAUGAGAAAAAUAUCACUGGAUGAGCACAGAUUUCCCCUCUCUGGGAAGAUCCCUGAAGACAGAAGCUAGUGAGUGCUCUGCCUCAGCCCUGCUACAUUCCUGACCUUGUCCCUUUUGGAGGAGGAACAAGAAAUUCUAGGAUGAGACAGAGAUCAAAGGAGGAAGAAAGAGAAAAAUGUCAGUCAACAGAAUUUCAGGACUCAAUGGGGGAAUGAAGAUAGUAUUUAUAGAUUAAGUCCUCAUAAACUAUUAGAAGAUUCAGUCAAACUGCGUUUGUGGAACUGCAUUGUGGAAUUUCACCCGAGGAGCCCCAUCUGUAUGAGGGGCUGAUUCAGCAGAGAGAUUGUGGACUUCAAGCCAAUGCCAUAACAUGAUGAGAUUUUGAGGCUCUUGGAAAGAGGUCCAGCCAGUCAAGAGCUGGUGAAGUAGACCUGCUGUAGAAGGUGUGAAGACCCAGUCCUCCCUCCACAAUUCUCCACCCUUGAAAGGUCGUGUGCGUGUCUGUUCACCCACGAAAGAAGAAGACACCAAAUGGAUGGCAUCGAUUUCAUCUUAAGUUUCAAUGCCAACUCUAUAAGUAACUGCAUUUUUACAUUUCUGAUACUGUAACAAAUGGAAAUAUGGAAAACAGUACAUCUGAAGCAUAGCAAGACAUUUAAGAUGAUUUACUAUAAAAACCUCAAGUUUAAGCUUUGAAUAUCAGCAAAAUUAAGAUAAGUUUAUAAAUGAUUAAAAAUAAUUAUAACCAUUGCUAGUAAGAAAGAAAGUGUUUAGUCAUGAACUAGAGAGGUCUACCCUAUUCAAUAUUGUUUCUACCUAUGGAGACUUUAUAGGCAUACUAACAAAAUUCUUGAUAAGGGAUGCGAAUUUUAAAAUGCACUAU